CAUAAUAGUGAACAAUACAGAUGAGAUCUUUGAAACUGAAGGUAUAUUCAAUGCUGCUAUAGUAUCAGAAAUAUGGAUCUACAUAAAGAAAAGAAGAGCAUAAGAGAAGGAGAACUGCCAGCAGAGAUAUAGUGGGCCCUGAAACAGCAUGACUUUGAUGCUUAGAAAAUGCUCUCUUUUAACAAAGUAAAUCAAGCAUACGUGUAUGAGGCCUGGGGCUCUGACUGGUGCGGAGAGCACAGAAUGGUCUAGAUGUAUGACAACGAGCAAGAAGAGGCUGCUGGGUAGCCAGGAAAGAGCAGGGAUGAAAAGAGGCAUCAGAGGAUGAGGCCUGGCAGGAAACUCAGGUGACACCGAGCUAACCUCCCUAUCAGAACAGACUGUUAUAUUCACUAGCACCAAUAUUAUCUUCUUUUCAUCACAUUCGUGUAGCAAAUCAUUUUCGCGUAUUUACAUUGUAUUGCGUACUCGUGUGCUAAGGGCAAUUAUCAGACUCCACGGAUUUCCUGUCAAGAGGGGAA
Long non-coding RNA from Lutra lutra (Eurasian river otter), 521 nucleotides. RefSeq lists it as uncharacterized. The transcript is spliced from 3 exons. Lineage: Eukaryota; Metazoa; Chordata; Mammalia; Carnivora; Mustelidae. The record is from RefSeq and is a predicted model, not a curated record.